Molecule: ribosomal RNA, 433 nt
Filed under: uncultured bacterium
Lineage: Bacteria
Description: partial 16S ribosomal RNA
Rfam family: Bacterial small subunit ribosomal RNA
Source: RNAcentral
AGCGAACGCUGGCGGCAGGCCUAACACAUGCCAGUCGAACGAACUCUUCGGAGUUAGUGGCGGACGGGUGAGUAAAACGGGGGAACGUGCCUUUUGGUUCGGGAUACCUCAGGGAAGCUUGGGCUAAUACCGAAUGUGCCCCUCUGGGGCAAGAUUUGUCGCCCUUGUAGCGGCCGGCGUCUGAUUGGCUAGUUGGUGAGGGAACGGCCCACCAAGGCGAGGCUCAGUAGCUGGGUUGAGAGGAAGACCAGCCACUCUCGGAGGAGGCCGCGGCCCAGACUCCUACGGGAGGCAGCAGUGGGGAAUCCUGCGCAACGGGGGAAAGCCUGACGCAGUCAGGCCGGGUGAAUGAUGAAGGUCUUAGGAAUGUAAAAUUCUUUCACCGGGGACGAUAAUGACGGUACCCGGAGAAGAAGCCCCGGCUAACUUCGUG